UGUCAGAACAAAGCUGUUAUUUUUCAAGCUAAGCGUUAGCCCUACACUACAAUUUGACCCUUACAAUAGGUGUACGUGAGGUGGUUUCUAGCAUUCCAAUUCGUUGCUGCAAUUUUAGCUUGAUUAUUCUAAAAUAAUGUGAACACAGAACCAGGAAAAAUAAAACCUUUUCCCAACUAUGUGACCAUAGGUUACCUUUCCUUCCAGAAAGGUAGCAAACUGUAGGCCUCCAGUUGGAGACCAUCCAUGGAGGUACUUUGUUUUGCCAGUGAAUUAGGCCCCCAGGGAGGUCAGCUUAGAAUGAAGUCUCAUUUCCCCUGCUUUGUGCCUUGAUACGUUUGCAGAGCUCCUGAGGGCAUCUGAGCUCUGCCUCCAGCUUUACUGUCUCCCCUCCAAACCCAAGUCAGAGAGCUACUUCUCAUCGCCAGGAAGUGGGCCAGGGGAAGCUCGGGCUUUAUUUCACACAGGCUAACUGACUUGUCUUCACCAAACCACUUGGGUGUGGACAAAUAUUUUGUAUCAUCUUCUGCCAACAAGUUUUCUUGGCAUUUUUGCAUCUCCCAGGCAUGAACAAACACUGUGUAGCUUCCUACAAACACCCCUGUGUUGUGCACACUUUAUUUGAUAUUGUACUUCAUCCACUAUAGGAAAAAAGGGGGGAUAUCGAUAGAAAGGCAAGGGGAGGUGUACCAAGAAGGGAUAAGAGUUGGGCCUGAGGGACUCACCGGGAGUCACAGGACUCCAUCGGGUUCAUGGGCUGGAGCAGAGACUCAGACACAACUCUUCUCCCCAGGAGCCACCACAGAGGCAGCAAAGCAUAGAGCAAGUUUAGGGAGCAGUGAAUAGUCUAGUCUGGUCAAAGUCAAGUGGAUGUGCAUGUGGACAGUUUUGCAUUUGGUUUGGCAGACAUGCCAUGAAUUCAUGAAAGACUAGAUCUCAGAUUUAAAGUCUCAAACGUGCUGACCACCCCGUAGCUCCUUCAAUAAAGGCUGGGAGGAAGGGCGGAGAAUGCCGUGCAUACAAUAGGGCCAAUGGGCUGGGGUGACUCCCAAAAAACCUUGCGUGUUGAAACCAUUUACAUCAUCUACUCGCAAAUGGUGUCAUGUGAUGGCCGCGGGAGCGCAGCCACUGUGAGAUGAGCCUCCUGAUGCCCAGGGGACCGUCCCCAGAUCCCUUGCUCCUCUACACCCCAGUGACAGUGUGGUUCUCGAGAAACCAGAUGCGGUCCAGAGGAAGGUCUCAGCAGAGCACUGCUUCUUUUCUCUGCCCAGGGGCUCUAUGGAAAUUCCUGCCAGUGAGUGCCAGGUUUACCUGACUCUGUCUGAGAAUAUUACAGGAAGGAAACGGGAAAGAUGAGGGGCACCGCGUGGCGCAGUGGGAUGUCUCUGGAGAGUACAGUCAGAAGGUGACGUUGCCUCCAAAGGUUUCAUGAGUGGGGUUUCCAAUGGAAAGGUGUAUGCUGAUACAUGGGGUGGAAAAGAAUGCCACAGGACCGGGUGAUGGAAGCCAUACUUCACAUCUGCUUGACCCAGACUACAGGACUGCUUCUGUUUGGAGAAUUCCCAGAUAAGUGCCUCGUGGAAGUGUUCACCACGGCAUUUACGAUGCCAGGACACCGAGAGAAAUUCAAGCUAAUGAUGACGUUGGCAUCUCUCUAUCAAUCUCUUCUUCCAUAUUUAAAAAAAGGUUUUACACUUGCAUACACUAGGAAGCAGAAAACUUUUUCUGUGAAAGGCUAUAAAGUACAAAAAAAAAUUAGGUUUUGCUGAUCAUACAGUUUCUGUGGUAGUUGCUCAGCUCUGCAGGUGUGGGGCAAAAGCCACCAUAAGCAACAUGCGAACAGAUGGGUGUGGCUUUGUUCCAAUAAAACUUUAUUUCCAAAAACA
Long non-coding RNA from Leopardus geoffroyi (Geoffroy's cat), 1886 nucleotides. RefSeq lists it as uncharacterized. The record is from RefSeq and is a predicted model, not a curated record. The transcript is spliced from 2 exons. Lineage: Eukaryota; Metazoa; Chordata; Mammalia; Carnivora; Felidae.